GGAGGGCGCAAGCGUUGUUCGGAAUUACUGGGCGUAAAGCGCGUGUAGGCGGUUUGGAAAGCCGGAUGUGAAAUCCCCGGGCUCAACCCGGGAACUGCAUUCGAAACUUCUAGGCUAGAGUCCCGGAGGGGAAGGCAGAGUUCCCAGUGUAGGGGUGAAAUCCGUAGAUAUUGGGAGGAAUACCAGUGGCGAAGGCGGCCUUCUGGACGGUGACUGACGCUGAGACGCGAAAGCGUGGGGAGCAAACAGGAUUAGAUACCCUGGUAGUCCACGCCGUAAACGGUGCGUACUAGGUGUCGGGGGUAUUCACCCCUCCCGGUGCCCGGAGGUAACCCUUUUAAGUACGCGCCUGGGGAGUACGGCCGCAAGGCUA
Molecule: ribosomal RNA, 373 nt
Filed under: uncultured organism
Description: partial 16S ribosomal RNA
Rfam family: Bacterial small subunit ribosomal RNA
Source: RNAcentral